GGCCCGGUAGCUCAGUUGGUAGAGCAGCGGAUUGAAAAUCCGCGUGUCACUGGUUCGAUUCCAGUCCAGGCCACCA
Molecule: transfer RNA, 76 nt
Filed under: Limnohabitans sp. TEGF005
Lineage: Bacteria; Pseudomonadati; Pseudomonadota; Betaproteobacteria; Burkholderiales; Comamonadaceae
Also listed under: 10 other names
Description: tRNA-Phe
Rfam family: tRNA
About the family: Transfer RNA (tRNA) molecules are approximately 80 nucleotides in length.
Source: RNAcentral